This is a long non-coding RNA of Lepisosteus oculatus (spotted gar), 5249 nucleotides long. RefSeq lists it as uncharacterized. The record is from RefSeq and is a predicted model, not a curated record. NCBI's taxonomy places the organism in Eukaryota, Metazoa, Chordata, Actinopteri, Semionotiformes, Lepisosteidae.
CAUAGGCGCGCGCGCGGCGCUCUCGUUUCGGCCAUUUCCUGUAACUGGGAACGCGACUUCCGGCGGAUAACAAGUCAGCCGCGACUAACGCCGUACUUAAACAUGUCAAUCAUGUUUCGUCGUAUUGUAGCUAAAAAAAAAAGAAAACUAGUCAAAACUCUUGGAUGUCAAGACCCAGCGGCCCAGCUUGACUGCUGAAGUCCACAGCCCAGGACCCCUCAAGGCGCGGGUGAAAGGAAUCCUGGGACUGAGAGGUUAUGACACCAAACCAGCAAGAAGUGUAGAGUGAUCCCCCAAGAGUCAGGAAAUUCGAGACACUGGGAUCAGUGUAUGGGAUCUGGGUGAGAUUUACUGGGAUCAGUGAGCAGCUGGGCAACCAAAUCCCAGGAAAAGACAAACCAGAUGCACCCCCCUUUUCCGAUCUGCAAAAUUCCCCCCGCCCCUCGGUCAGCCGGGCCCACAGGCCGCGUUUCCCCACGUGCUCUCCGAUGGCGACUGCUCGGGCAAAACCCGCCUGAGAGAGCAGGGCAAGAGACGGACAGGCAGGCCUGUCCCUCCCUUUCCCCGUACAGCAUCUAGACCAGCACAGGCUGCAGGUUUCCCCACCCCUCGCCCCUGCUCAGCCUCCCCCUCCUCCCCCAGCGGGGGCUCCUCACUCGGCCUUCCGCAUUGAGCCGCAGGGCACCGGGGGGCUCGACUCCCUAGCGCAAGGCGGAGGGCGCACACAGUGCAUGAAGCCCGCCUAUCAGGACCAAUCCCGGAGUUCCGACUUGGAGUUUCGGCCCGAAGAAGAAUUAGGAGAAAGCGUGGCGUCUGCUGAAAGAGCACCAGGUCACACGGAAGGAGUUUUCCCACUGGGCGGCGCUCACUUCCACAAUCACACACCCCGGCCUCCACCGAAAACGGCGUGGGAUAAACUUUGCACGCAGGGUGAAAAAAGGGAGAGAGGGGCCGCCACCAAGUGAGGAUGGGGGCCAUGCCAGCCCCCGUCGCUGCCAGCGAGCGCUUGAGAGACCGGAAGAACGCCAGCUGAGCACAGCUCUGGGGGACGGGGGGCUGGACUCCUCAUGGUUUGUGGAGCCCUGGAUGAAGGGGAGGGAAUCGUUUGGCUCAGAUGAGGGGAGGCGAGACACUUCGGGCCGGUUUAAUUUGUCUGCGAACCCACACUUGACAGGGAAAAGGCCUUUGAUUUGUGUAAAAGUGCUCAUUAAUGCAUAUUAAUGAGGCACGACAAGCUACAGCUUUUAAGAGAUUAAGGGGAAAGGCCGUGAAUAAUGCAGAGAGGAAUGAAAUACAGAACACUGCAGCAGAGAUGGAGUGGGAAAUUACUCUGCUACUGGGGAACCGACAUUCCCAAAACAAACAACCUGCUGAGGUACUGUAACAACAGGCUGGGGACUGCUUGUGUUAGACUCUCUUCCUGAGGGUGAAGGGGAACGGUGUUCUUUUCUGGAUUCAACCUCUGUAACCAAUGAAACGAUUCACCUACAGUAAUUCUUAGAGUUUUUAAGGAAACAGCUAAUCCUAAGGUCUUUUACAGCCUGUGAAAAGUAAGUGUUCUCUGGGCACUGUCACUUUUUCUUCACUCGUGGUUCCGUGGACUACUGUCCAGUCCAGCAGGCCUUGUAACCAUGAAGCUUUGAAAAUUAAAACGACUAUCUCUCCUAUCUGUGCAUAAUACAGAGCAGCAGCACUUAUCUCCAAAUUGAGCUGAUCGUUAGCUAAACUGGACCACUUCAACACAUUUUGAAGGUCUUCAGCUCUUGAUCAUUUAAAGAGACAUGGAAAACCUGGAUGCUGACCUUUGUGGUUGGGAACUGUGCACUUACGAUAAAAACCCUGCAAUAUUCACUCCUGAUCCUGGACGACCACAGCCCACCAGUUACCUGGUUAUAGUUACCUUAAAAUAACCAAUGAAGUGAACAACUGAUUCAAGUCAAGUUUCCAAGACUCCAGGGUGGAAAGCAAAGCAGAAAACAUGGUGAACCUCCAGGAUCGGGAUUCAAUAUCCGUGACAUAAAGAGUCUGUGUACAGAGAGAGAAUUUGAGUUCUGUGUGCCUUGACAAGCUUGCUGAACGGGCAGAAAGAAAUCUGCUGAAGCCGUCUUCUGCUUCAUAAAGAAGCAAAGAACUUGCGGGAGGGGAACUUUUAACAGAGGCUUUUCAAUUAGCAACCGAUCAAGCCUAAAACAGACGAGCAGUCUGAUUUCUUACCCAAGUAAUUCCUUCGGUUAAUCAAGUACAAAAGAUGGGAAGUACAGUUAAAAGCCAGAGGACAGAGGAGUGUGUGGAUUUCUCUGUUCUACUAGACACUCGGUGAAUGUGAUCUUCUGUGUCAGUGAUUUCCCUUGCCUCCUGCAUCCUAAAUAAAACUGCUCGGUGAGGUUUGCCCAGUGACACUUCAGUGUUUUGCAAGUCUUAUGCUCACUAAGACCAGUUUUCCUGACAGGCCUCAGGAGCCCCUGGAGGAGCAAUCAUUUUGUAUUUUGUUACCACACAGAAAGUUAAGAGGGUGAUGAAGUGAGCUGUCAGUUUGUAGAAAAAAAAAACACCUCUUCUAAUUUUCCACUGGAUAAACUGACAAGUGUAGAUUUAGAUUAGAAAAACUGCAAGCAGUUAUUGAUGGCAAGUGCUGUCAGCAGCAAGAGUGGUUUCACACUUGGCAGUGAUCACUACCUACAGUCGCCAUCUAUAAUUGCUCACAAUGAACCGCCAGAAAUUGCUGUAAUCUACCUUUGUCACUUUACCGUUGGAAAUAACGUAAUUUAGGAGCUGUUGGUUUUUUUUUUUGCAGCACGCAGAAGGUUCACAGAUUUUGUUUAACCCAGCUCUUCGUGAUUGAGUUAGAAACAAAGGCCUGAGAUAACAGCUGCUGCGAGUGCCGCUCAUGAUCAAUAUCGAGAGUUUCUGGGCCUCUCAGCAGUAUUUCAAAGCCCCUUGCCCACUGUGUUACACUGGGCAAUCUGCCUGCAUGCAGCUAUUCCUGGCAGGCUUGACAGAAUGCAGCCAGUCUCACAACAACCUCCUCGCUUUUAAGUGAUUGUUUUACAGAACUUCAUUAAAAAUAUAUUAGUCAGUUAAUGGACUAAUUUAACACUUUAUAACGGUCUUGAGGUUUUAAAGGGAACUGGAAAACCUGGAUUCCGGCUUUUGUGGAUCGAAACUGUGCGCCUGGAGUAUACCAGUAUUAUAUUCACUCCUGGUCCUGGAAGAUCUCUGCCCACCAGGUCUUAUAUUUACCUGCGGAUUCAAAUACCCCGGCAGGAGCAACUGAUUCAUGUCAGGUCAUUCUGAGUCCAGCAGGGUGGAAGAGCAGAGCGCUUUUUUACAGAAAUCUCUCUGCCCGCCCUACAACAAGCUCCUCACUGGUAGGCGAUUGUUCCAGUGGCGCUAUGUAAAUAAAGUCUGUUAGCCAGUGAACUCCUGAUCAAAGCUCUCUUCCCAGUCCCGGCUUAAGGUGGGUUUUGAAGAGUUUGUGACUGUUAAAAGUCGACCCUAGUGGUACACAACGCACAGCACCUCCAGACUCCCCCGCCACCACCAUCAUCAUCAUCAUCAUCAUCUCCGCAAGACCAACAGAUGUCAACAGCUGGAGAAGAGCCAAGCCCGCGGGCUGCAGAGGGCCCAGCCAGGAUCCGAGGAAGGGGGAACGGAGGACUUCGGAUACCUGGAAAGGGAAUGGCGACCACAACGUUCCUCCCGCUAAGCCCGCGCGGGGGGCUCCUCUGAUUUGCACUCUUUCUCUCUCUGCACUAAUGCCACCCUGACGGCACAACGCAUUUUGCGCCAUCCAGAAUAAAACACGGAGCGGGUCCCUGCCCUCAGCUCCUCUUGCCCUGCCCUUUCCUGCUCCGCUACACUGUGGCCCCGGUUGUGAGACGGCUGGGAGGCGGGGGCGGCGCAGGGUCUGUCUCUGCAGGUCGGCUGUGUGCCCCCCGCCCCCCUCCCCAUCGGCGCCUCGUCCCCGAACAUCUGUGAGAAACAUCUGGAUUCACAGACCCCUCGCCCCCGUGCUCGCGCGCUCUCUCGCUUUCAAACGCCCCCACCGGCCGGCCCUGCUCACAUCAAAGGACAGAUCAGAUCAGAGCGUUUCGGGGUUCCCCCCCCCCCUCCCCUCUUUGGGUUUGUUAAUGAACUGGUUCUUUAUUUUUUCCCUCCGAAGCAGCGUGGGUAGUUGGUGUGGCUGGCUCGCUGCUGCGCGAGCUCCAUUGCCCGGGAGCGAGACCACCGGAGUGAAAACUCUGCCCGUACAGCCGCGCGCCUGCCCCCCCCCGCCUCGCCCCGCAGAGAUCCCUCAGCGGAGACAGAAGACAGGAGCGGCUCGGCCCCCCCCCGAUCCGCCCGUCCAGGCCUGCGGAAACGCGCCGGGAACGCCGACACGAGGGCCGUGACAGCGGGAUUGAUUCGGAGCGGGAGGGGGGAAGGACGGGUCGUCGUUCCGCCCCGCUACGACUGGGAAAAAUUACACGCCCCCCCCGCGGAGGACACGAGCGGGCGGGAUGAGCAGAUCGGAAAACGCAAGAGGCCGGGCAGGAGAACUGGACAGUCGGGGUGGAAACACCUGUGCGCAGCCCCAUUUCAUUUUCCGUCAAAAAUCCUCAUCAAUCCCCGAUCCCACAAUGCCCCCAGGACUAUGGUCUGCUCGAGGAGACGGCAGACUGUGGCUCUGAAUGGCCUGGGGGCAUAAAUUGAGCCCUGUGCCCUGCUUCAGCUCUUCUCUGCCACUCCCACGAGCUCAGGAACUCCUCAUGCCUCCACCAUGUGUGGAGCAGCUGUCGGGACUCCAGGGCUGCGGGUUCGAACCCGUACUGUAUGAACGGGCAUGCACCCAGUAAGUCAUUGCGAAUAAACACAUCAGCCAAAAAAGUUCACAUUCCCGGCCUUCUCCAACACUAGAUUUAUAGGCACCCGUGUGGUAGCAAUCACACGCAUUAUUGGACACUAGGGAUUGCCGAUUACCUCACACUUCUGUCCAAAGAAGAAGAAAUCCUAAAUGAAUCCUGAUCUAAGACAAAAAAAGACGAGUCGUGAGAAAGAACUUCUGGUGCAGAUCAAACACUGCGAGGGAGAGGGACAGUGAAAGACCUGCUGUCAGUGGACACACGGGAUUCGCCAUGCAGUUGCCAAGAGUUAAAUUCCAGCUCGGCCUCAGACUGAAGGGAUCUGGACCGAUGAUCAGGAGCUGAUGAUUAAAGACAGAGGUGUGAAGGGCUGCUCACUGGACAGUAGCCAAUGAUUUGCAGCAGCAC